This 634-nucleotide ribosomal RNA is filed under the name uncultured bacterium. Its description in RNAcentral is "bacterial SSU rRNA". It matches the Rfam family "Bacterial small subunit ribosomal RNA", at positions 789 to 1424 of the family's 1533-position model. The record is from RNAcentral.
GGUAGUNCACGCCCUAAACGAUGUCGAUUAGCUGUUGGGCAGCAUGACUGCUUAGUAGCGAAGCUAACACGUGAAAUCGACCGCCUGGNGAGUACGGUCGCAAGAUUAAAACUCAAAGGAAUUGACGGGGACCCGCACAAGCGGUGGAUGAUGUGGAUUAAUUCGAUGCAACGCGAAGAACCUUACCUGGUCUUGACAUGUACGGAAUCCUCCAGAGACGGAGGAGUGCCUUCGGGAGCCGUAACACAGGUGCUGCAUGGCUGUCGUCAGCUCGUGUCGUGAGAUGUUGGGUUAAGUCCCGCAACGAGCGCAACCCUUGUCAUUAGUUGCCAUCAUUAAGUUGGGCACUCUAAUGAGACUGCCGGUGACAAGCCGGAGGAAGGUGGGGAUGACGUCAAGUCCUCAUGGCCCUUAUGACCAGGGCUUCACACGUCAUACAAUGGUCGGUACAGAGGGUAGCCAAGCCGCGAGGCGGAGCCAAUCUCACAAAACCGAUCGUAGUCCGGAUUGCACUCUGCAACUCGAGUGCAUGAAGUCGGAAUCGCUAGUAAUCGCAGGUCAGCAUACUGCGGUGAAUAUGUUCCCGGGUCUUGUACACACCGCCCGUCACACCAUGGGAGUGGGGGAUACCAGA